AACUGAUACUACCUGCGGGAACCUGCGGAAGGAUCAUUACCGAGUGUUGGGGUCUCUCAGGCCCCUUACUCCCACCCCAUGUGUACCUACCUUUCUUCAGUUGCCUUGGCGGGUCCCUCCCCUCAGCGGGAGGGGUUCAGCCCGCCAGGGGGACUCCCCUUAAACUCUUGAACUUGGGUCGUCUGAGAAAGCAAUCAAAUGAAUGAAAACUUUUAGCAAUGGAUCUCUAGAUCGGAAGAG
Molecule: unclassified non-coding RNA, 240 nt
Filed under: soil metagenome
Description: partial contains 5.8S ribosomal RNA, internal transcribed spacer 2, and large subunit ribosomal RNA
Source: RNAcentral